CGGACAAUAACUCAAAAACACUUUCACCAAUUUCCAUGAAACUUUAGUGAAUUGUUUAUAUCUAUUGACGUAAGCUCCCUUUCGUUUUUUUUUAAUUUCAGAUUUUAAGUUUUGGAUUUAUGGGGCUUUAUUCAUAAAAAAAGGGGGGAUUUUCAACACUUCGGACAAUAACUCAAAAAGGCUUUCACCAAUGUCCAUGAAACUUUGGUGAAUUGUUUAUAUCUAUUGAUGUAAGCUCCCUUUCAAUUUUUAUAAAUUUCAGAUUUUAAGUUUUGGAUUAAUGGGGCUUUAUUCAUAAAAAAGGGGGAUUUUUAACACUUCGGAC
Molecule: long non-coding RNA, 325 nt
Filed under: Mytilus galloprovincialis (Mediterranean mussel)
Lineage: Eukaryota; Metazoa; Mollusca; Bivalvia; Mytilida; Mytilidae
Source: RNAcentral